RNAcentral lists this ribosomal RNA (406 nucleotides) under uncultured bacterium. Its description in RNAcentral is "partial 16S ribosomal RNA". It matches the Rfam family "Bacterial small subunit ribosomal RNA", at positions 30 to 526 of the family's 1533-position model. The record is from RNAcentral.
AUUGAACGCUGGCGGCAGGCUUAACACAUGCAAGUCGAACGAGCGGCGGACGGGUGGGUAAUGUAUUAGCAACUGCCUGAUGGAGGGGGAUGACUACUGGAACAGGUGGCUACAGCCGCAUACCAUCAGAUGUGCCCAGAUGGGAUUAGCUAGUAGGUGGGGUAAUGGCUCACCGAGGCGACGAUCCCUAGCUGGUCUGAGAGGAUGACCAGCCACACUGGAACUGAGACACGGUCCAGACUCCUACGGGAGGCAGCAGUGGGGAAUAUUGCACAAUGGGCGCAAGCCUGAUGCAGCCAUGCCGCGUGUGUGAAGAAGGCCUUCGGGUUGUAAAGCACUUUUAGUGGGGAGGCGUUACUCGCAGAAGAAGCACCGGCUAACUCCGUGCCAGCAGCCGCGGUAAUUC